RNAcentral lists this ribosomal RNA (253 nucleotides) under uncultured bacterium. Its description in RNAcentral is "partial 16S ribosomal RNA". It matches the Rfam family "Bacterial small subunit ribosomal RNA", at positions 524 to 776 of the family's 1533-position model. The record is from RNAcentral.
UACGGAGGGGGCUAGCGUUGUUCGGAAUUACUGGGCGUAAAGCGCACGUAGGCGGCUUUGUAAGUUAGAGGUGAAAGCCCGGGGCUCAACUCCGGAAUUGCCUUUGAAACGGGAUUGCUAGAGUCCGAGAGAGGAUGGCGGAAUUCCUAGUGUAGAGGUGAAAUUCGUAGAUAUUAGGAAGAACACCGGUGGCGAAGGCGGCCAUCUGGCUCGGUACUGACGCUCAGGCGCGAAAGCGUGGGGAGCAAACAGG